GGGUGCUUAGCUCAGCUGGUAGAGCGGCGCCCUUACAAGGCGUAGGUUGGGGGUUCGAACCCCUCAGCACCCACCA
RNAcentral lists this transfer RNA (76 nucleotides) under Burkholderia cenocepacia. RNAcentral describes it as "tRNA-Val". It matches the Rfam family "tRNA". From Rfam's summary of the family: Transfer RNA (tRNA) molecules are approximately 80 nucleotides in length. Lineage: Bacteria; Pseudomonadati; Pseudomonadota; Betaproteobacteria; Burkholderiales; Burkholderiaceae. The record is from RNAcentral.